RNAcentral lists this ribosomal RNA (483 nucleotides) under uncultured bacterium. Its description in RNAcentral is "partial 16S ribosomal RNA". It matches the Rfam family "Bacterial small subunit ribosomal RNA", at positions 28 to 507 of the family's 1533-position model. The record is from RNAcentral.
GACGAACGCUGGCGGCGUGCUUAACACAUGCAAGUCGAACGCUGAAGCUCAGCUUUUGUUGGGUGGAUGAGUGGCGAACGGGUGAGUAACACGUGAGUAACCUGCCCCCUUCUUUGGGAUAACGCCCGGAAACGGGUGCUAAUACUGGAUAUUCACUGGUCUUCGCAUGGGGGUUGGUGGAAAGGGUUUUUCUGGUGGGGGAUGGGCUCGCGGCCUAUCAGCUUGUUGGUGGGGUGAUGGCCUACCAAGGCUUUGACGGGUAGCCGGCCUGAGAGGGUGACCGGGCACAUUGGGACUGAGAUACGGCCCAGAAUCCUACGGGAGGCAGCAGUGGGGAAUAUUGUACAAUGGGCGCAAGCCUGAUGCAGCGACGCCGCGUGAGGGAUGGAGGCCUUCGGGUUGUGAACCUCUUUCGCUCAUGGUCAAGCCGCAACAAUGGUUGUGGUGAGGGUAGUGGGUAAAGAAGCGCCGGCUAACUACGUG